Molecule: long non-coding RNA, 6506 nt
Organism: Homo sapiens (human)
Lineage: Eukaryota; Metazoa; Chordata; Mammalia; Primates; Hominidae
Exons: 2
Source: RefSeq, a predicted model, not a curated record
AAAAAGUUGGGAGAAAAAUAGAAUUAAUGUGAAUUUGUUUAUUCCUCCUUUUAGAAAAGAUUCUAAAUCUUCUCACAUUUACAACAGUAUUAACAUAAAUUCUUCACAGUCAUCUUGAAAACAUUACCUUGAUUUAAGAAUCAGUAAAUAUCCUGGGAACAAAGGUAAGGGUCAGGUUCCCAGUGGAAGAUCUCUAGGACAGCAGGAAGAGUCCUUGUGCCAAGUUACUGCUACUCUGUAAAGGGAUGUGUUGGCAAUACCAGCUCACUGGCAAGUCUCUCGGAUAAAAUGGCAGGGUAGCAUUCCCAGAUACAACAUAUGACCCAUUGUAAGUCUUGUCGUAUAAACCUGAGGGACACUGAGAAAAACAGCUGCUUCUAAACAUAAGUAAAAAUUGAACUUAAUGCUGUAACCACCAUAAAUUGUAGGAUUAUUUAUGUAAAACCAUAAAUGUACGCUACGACUAAAUGAGUCAUUUACAGAAUAUCCCUUCAGUUAUUAACGUGGCAUAAAUACUAAUCCCUGAAGAUUAAGUUGAACACUAAUCACUUUGAACAUUCAAGGACCUUUUGUAAUCCCGAGUUUCGUAUUUCCAUAUGGUAAUUUCCCCUGUGAUAGCCGAGUAGGGCGGAUCAUUGCCACGUAAGCAAUAAUGCAUGACAAGGCAUGCUGUAACAAGGAAUGGGGUUUCCAUCUUUUCUCCCAGUCCCCCCGCUCCACCUUCAUUCCCAAUGUGAGCUUAAUUAAAACUCCUCAGAACUUGGCUCUGUUUAACACAAGGGCAAAACAAGCCCAGAAAUGCUGACAAGUUCUUCCACCUCUGCCUGCUGGGUCAGCUCAUUAAGGGUCAUGAUUUUAUGGCACAUGCAUGGUGGCCUGGCCACAGGUUUGGAGAAGCCUCAAACCAAGAAGCAGAAUACAACUUAGUAAACUAACAAUUUGCCUUACUUUUUAAAUGUCUUUUAAUGAUGAAUUUUAAUUUUUAAGAUAAUUCAUGCACAUAGUUUUUUAAUCAAUUUUUUUUACAAAAUGAGCAGCUGCUGUCCAACCUCCUGCUCUGAAACCAUUUCUUCUGUUUACCCAUAUGUGUAAAUAACAUGCUUAUACUGCUGUUUCCUCAUUUAUCAAUUUUGCACACCAAUAUUUUGACUAAACCAUUUCUCAAACCAUUUCUUCUAUUUACCCCAUAUUUGUAAAUAACAUGCUUAUACUGCUAUUUCCUGAUGUAUCACUUUUGCACACCAAAUUUUUGACUAACACGAUAGUAAUGGAGGAUUUAGCUGGUUAACGCACACCUCUGCCAUCUCCUCUACCCUUUUAUCCCUAUAGAACUGGAUCACAAUGUUAGAGUCGAUCACAGUAAAUAUUGCAUUAUUAUUUUAUAAUAUCGAGCUUAUGACUAUAUAAAUUAUGUUUACUGCUGAUUCAAGUAAUGUAUUACUGUGAUUGCAAUGGUCUGAAUGUUUCUGUCCCCCCAAUAUUUAUAUAUUGAAAUCUCAAUCCCCAAGGUGAUGCCAUUUGAAGGCAGGACCUUUGGGAGGUUGAUUAGUUUAUGAAUGUGGAGCCCUGGUGAAUGGGAUUGGUUCCCUUAUAAAAAAGAGACCCUGGAGAACUCCCUCACCCUUGUACCAUGUGAGGACACAGUGAGAAGAUGGCAACUAUGAACCAGGAAGCAUGUCCUCACCAGAAGCCAAGUCUGCCAGAACUGUGUGAAAUAAAUUUCUGUUAUUUAUAAGCCACCUGAUCUAUGGUAUUUUUUUGUAAAAGCCUGAAUGGAAUAAGAAAAUAAUUAUAUUGCCUUUCUCUUAAAAUUAUUUGUUUUCUCCUAGUACCUUUUUCAUUUGCCUAUAGAUUUAUCACCUUUUUAAAUAAGUGCUUCAACGCAUGUGUCACCCACACCUAUCAAUAAUUUUUCAACACCAGACUGCUCAAACACCAGACCUCUCAGAUCCAUUUCUCCUGCAAAGACAUCUUUCUGCAGCUGCCCCAUGCAAUUCCUCCAUCUCCAAUACAAACUCUCUCUAGGCCGGUGCUGAGCUAUCAUCUUGUGACUUCCUUUUGCUGUUUUCCUGGGAUGGAUCCCUAUUUCCUGGAUUUCAUGUCUUUCUUUUUCAUGGCUUACUCCUUCAUUCACUGAUUUUGCCCAGUGGCUUCAUCAGAAAGGGCACAAGUGAGGUAAAUUUUUAAAUUCAUUAUAUGUCUGAAAGUAUCUUUAUUCUACACCAGCUGCCCUGUGGCCCCUUUAUUUCUUUCCCCCAAGAUGCACCCAAGUUCUGCAAUCCCUGCCUUCUUGCUCAGCUGUUUUUGGUACCAUUUUAGGCUUCAGGGACUGGUCUUUUCAGCAUUUAAAUGUCCAUCCUAUUACCAGUUAAGGAAAUUCUUGCCUUAUUGUUAUAUACUUGCCUUUAAAAAAAAAUCCUUGGGCUUUUUCUGUACAAGGACAUGGAUUGGGAUGACAGGAGGGAGAAGGUACAAGUGAAGAACUCAGUGGCCUGAAAUCGACUCUCUUUGGACUAUGAGGACUUGGCCAUUUUCCACAACAGAGAGUGUAGAGGAAUGCUGUCUUGUGCUGCCGUGGGCCACAAGGUGUGGUGGCAGGUCUCAUAUGCUCCAACAUCUGGCCAUGAAGAAUCAUGGUUGGUCAAUCUCAGAGGGAGGAAUGAGCUGUAAACCUAUAAGAAAAUCAACACCAUUAUUUCCCUAAAGUAUCCAAAGCAAUUCUAUGUACUUCUGACAAGGAAACAGGAAGGAGAAUCUAGAGUGCUGCUCAAAUUAAAGGGAAAAGGAGAAGAAAGAUUAUUGGCUACCACCAUCUCUCUCACCCUUACCCCUUGCCUACCUCACUCUGUAGAGGCUAGAAACACAAGAUUUGCACUUCCGGCUCCUGUUGCAAAUCAGAGUAGCUGAGUGACCCACAUUUGGCCAAUGAGUACUUGUGGGGCAGGCUGCUGGGAGGCUUCUGAUGGAGCCUUCUUUUUCCAAACAAUCAGGCAGAGGCUUGGGAGGAAGCAAGCUCUUGCUCCCACCUGUCCUUCCUUUUUAGGAUGUGCUGUGAGGACCUAAUGUCUGCAACUAUCAUGUAUGAAGGUGACAAAGAGCCCAAAUGCGGCUGAAGGAGUGGAGAAUGGGAAUGACCUCGAUGAGCUGCACCAGCAAUCCUGAGAUCACACAUCUAACUUCUUAAGGAAGCAAUAAAUGUCCCUUUGCGGUGGUGAUUUUUUUCAAACAGGCUAGGGAUUCAAGAGAAUAUUUUUAUCUGUUCGACCAACAUCAUGGCUAUGAUAACCGGACCAAGGUUCCCAAGGCUAUUGUGGCUCCAGAAGGAUGUGUUUUGCUCCUGUGGGUGACUGGAGUGUGCUCCCCUGACAGCAGCAGUCUUCCUGGGCCCGAGGUCGACUGACCUGUCUUCACUCAGCAGACAAAGGAGUAGGUGGGGUUGUGCAGACAGGAGGUCCCAGCAGCCGCAGCUGCACAGCUCCUGUUGUUUCCCCUUCCUCAGAUGGGAUUUCUUGCUGAUGCAAUUACCAGCCACUGUUCUGAGUGUAUUACAAGUAUGAACUUCGUGAUCACAAGAUCUUUCUGAGUUAGGUAACAUUAUUAUCCCCAGUUUACAAAUGAGGAUACUGACGGAGUUCAGAACACGCUACCCCAGAAUACGUCAUCUUGUCAUACUAUAUAUUUUAGACUUGAAGGAAAUUGAGAAAACCGUAAAAACAGAAGGUCACGCUCUGAUCUUCCCUCACCCUCUUUCCCCUGAAAUGGGCCAUUAAACCUCACUGACCUUCCCCUGAAAAUCGGUCGUAAAACUCUCAUUUCAGAAGGGCCCUCCCUAUACCCGGAAGAAAGGAAAGAAGACAAGAGAAGACUGAACAAACAGGCCUUGCUAAAUUCCACCCCCCACUCCCGCAGUCUAUUACCAUUAGACCGUAGCCUUUUGUCCUCCAGACAUACUUCCGUACAACUAUCCAUAAAAAUACAGAGCCCCCUCUUACUCAUGGAGAUACAUUCCAACAUCCCUAGUGGAUGCUUGAAACCAUGGAUAAUACUGAACUGUAUAUACACUGGGGUUUUUUCUGUACAUACAUACCUAUGACAAGUUAAAUGUAUAAAUUAGGCACAGUAAGAGAUUAACAGCAAUAACUGAUAAUAAUAUAGAAGAAUAAGAAAAAUAUAACUAAUAAAAGUUAUGGGAAGGUAGUCUCUCAAAACAUUUUAAUAUACUCACCUUCUCCUUGUGAUGAGGUGAAUACAUUGGACAAAGGGAUGUUUCACAUCCUAGGUGAAACUCAGAAGAGUGCAGAGUUUAAAACAUGAAUUGCUUAUUUCUGAUUCCAGAAAUUUUCCACUUAAUACCUUCAGGCCAUGGUUGACCUCGGGUGACUGAAACCAUGGAUUAGGGAAGACUACUACACCCAUAUUUCCCUGUUUCUUGAAGUCUUCAUUUCUGAAAGCUCCCUUGCCACAUAAAACUUAUAUUAAACAAGUUUGUAUGCUUUUCUAUUGUUUAUGUUCAUUUGUUUUUAGACUGGGUCUCACUCUGUUGCCCGGGCUGGAGUGCAGUGGCGCAAUCUCAGCUCGCUGCAGCCUUGACCUCCUGGGCUCAAGCGAUCCUCCCACCUCAGCCUCUCUAGCAGCUGGGACCACAGGCGUGUGCCACCACACUUGGCUAAUUUUUUGUAUUUUUUGUAGGGCUGGGGUUUCACCACAUUGCCCAGGCUGGUCUGCAACUCCUGAGCUCAAGCAAUCCGACCGCCUCAGCCUCCCAAAGUGCUGGAAUUACAGGCUUGAGCCACCGUUCCUGGCCUUUUCUCUUGUUAAUCUAUCUUUUGUUAUAGGCGUCUCAGCUGUGCACCUGAUGGGUGAGCAAAAUACUAUGUUUGCUCCCUACCACACAAAGCCAUGGGGAGGUGAAACAGUUUGCCUAAUGUUACUUAGCUAGUGAGUGGCAGAGGUGGGAUCAAUGUGGGCAGUUUAGCUCUGGACUCAACAUUAUGCUGAGGUCUGAACACCACUCCAGGGGAGAUAAUAGGUGAAUGUUUUGAGAAAAUGUAAAGGUCCUGAAAAACAUUGAAAUGAAUUUUUUUUCUGAAUUUUUUUUCCCCAAAAGAGUAAAAACAUUGGCCAGCACUUAUAAUCUGAGCAUGAGAUGUUCAUUAGAAUUAUAAUAUCUUGAUUAAGAAAUCAGUUAUAAACUGACAGUUUUCAGAUUAAAGAACUGGAAAUGUGAUCACGAAAAAUGAGGGAAAAUUUUCUACUAAAAAGCAUUUCAACGUUUUCCAAUGUGUUCUCUUUACAAAGGAAAGUAAUGGUGAGAGGCUUGUUCACCACUGAAAAGUUUGGAGAACUAAAACAUAAUUCAAAUUUUAUAAGGAUGGAGAUAUUCUGAAAAGUGGGAAGAGGCAAGCACUUCAAUAAGGGGCAGUAUCUCUGGGAGAUGGAAACGAACAUCCUCAGGAAAAAAAAGAGAGGGGGUUAAACAAGAACUCAAGGGAAAAUUGAGGAGCACCACUUGCAUUCUAAUUCAUUUCUCUUGAAAGAAUUCAUUAAUUUACUCAGGCGCAUGUACUAGUGACACCAGAACAAAUGAGUUUCUGCCCUAAGGAAUUCGUUACUGAAUGGAAAAAAUUCAGGGGGAUAAAGCAAGCUGUGGCCACCCACUGUGAUAUGCACUGUGAUAGAGUUAGGCUCAAAGUGCUGGAAGGUGCUUCAAAGUCAGGCAGUAUUAGAGCCUGGAGCCAGGACAACAUCUGGAAGAAAGCGAUGCCUUAGCAGAAUGCUGAAGAUUGGAGAAAACUUGGCCAGGCAAAUAUGGGGAAACAUUCCCAAGGAGGAGCAGAUUGUUCCAAGGCCUGAAGAAAAAGAGCUCACCUCUUGAACUUUCUACGGCUACAGCAGAGAGUGUGAGGUGGGCAGAGGGAGAGACGAGCCAGGGGACCUGGGGAGGGACUAGGUCGUGGAGCCUUGUGUGUCCCCUGUAGGGAUAUGGACUAAAUUGACAGCCCCAGGGAGCCUUGGUCACCAUUGUCCUUCCCUGUAGCUGCUGUGAUUGUGCCCCUGCGGGCCAUUUCCACAGAGCAGGAAGAAUGAACUUGAGAACAGAUAGACUGUUCUGUCAUGGUAUUUCCCAAGGCAUUUGGGGUAAGACUGGGGACAUGUUGCAUGGCCUACAAAGCUGUACCACAUCUGGCCCCUGCCUCCCCUUCAGUUCCACCCCAUACCCUCUUCCUCUUGCCAGGGACAUGUUCUUCUCUACAUCCUUCUCCUAGCUAGCUCUUGCUCAGUCUUUAGGUCUCAGCUCAAAACCAUCCUUGAUCCCCAAUCUAAUUUAAGCCCCUUGUUAUACAUUUUUUUUUAAUUGAGAUGAAAUUCACAUAACAGAAAAUUAACCAUUUUAAAGUACAUAAUUCAGGGUGGCAUUUAGUACACUCAGAUUGUUGUACAACUACCAUUUCUAUUUAGUUCGAGAAUGUUUUCAUCACACCAAAAUAAAACCAUAUACCCAUUAA